RNAcentral lists this ribosomal RNA (252 nucleotides) under uncultured bacterium. RNAcentral's name for it is "partial 16S ribosomal RNA". It matches the Rfam family "Bacterial small subunit ribosomal RNA", at positions 524 to 776 of the family's 1533-position model. The record is from RNAcentral.
UACAGAGGGUGCAAGCGUUGUUCGGAAUUAUUGGGCUAAAGCGCGUGUAGGCGGCUUUGCAAGUCGGGUGUGAAAGCCCUCAGCUCAACUGAGGAAGUGCGCCCGAAACUGCAGAGCUUGAGUACCGGAGAGGAUGGCGGAAUUCCCCAAGUAGAGGUGAAAUUCGUAGAUAUGGGGAGGAACACCGGUGGCGAAGGCGGCCAUCUGGACGGAUACUGACGCUGAGACGCGAAAGCGUGGGUAGCAAACAGG